UACGGAAGGGGGCUAGCGUUGUUCGGAAUCGACUGGCGCAAGCGCACGUAGGCGGAUCUUUAAGUCAGAGGUGAAAUCCCAAGGCUCAACCUUGGAACUGCCUUUGAUACUGGGGAUCUUGAGUCCGGGAGAGGUGAGUGGAACUGCGAGUGUAGAGGUGAAAUUCGUAGAUAUUCGGAGGAACACCAGUGGCGAAGGCGGCCCACUGGCUCGACACUGACGCUGAGGUGCGAAAGCGUGGGGAGCAAACAGG
This 253-nucleotide ribosomal RNA is filed under the name uncultured bacterium. Its description in RNAcentral is "partial 16S ribosomal RNA". It matches the Rfam family "Bacterial small subunit ribosomal RNA", at positions 524 to 776 of the family's 1533-position model. The record is from RNAcentral.